UUAGGAUAGAAAACAAAAACUGUAUCAAGAAAUUAGCUCAACAUUGGAAAAAUUGCUCGUUUGUAGUAGUAAAAAAAACAACAGAAAGAAGCACGAGAGUUUCGCAAGAAUUGCCUGCUUUUUCUUGAAUAAGUCUGCUUUUAGGUAAUAAUGUUUCAUUGAACACCAUAUCCCAGAAAGCAUUGCGCCAAGGCAAAGCAGGAAGAUAUUUUUUCGUCUGCAACUUCGGGAAGUUAGCCAGCAGGGUUGUGUUGUUCAGGCCCUGGGGAGAGUGGUGUGUGUCAGAGUGUGUGUUACAGAAACACCAGCAGUGAGUGUAUGUCUGUCUGUAAUCUGCUUCCGCCGGCUGUUUGUGGCAUCGGCUGUGAAGUGAACAGGAAGACAGAGGGCUGAAGAGAGAGAAAAAGAAAGAAAGAGAAGAGAGAGGAAGCUGCCGUCAGCAUGACUGAGUUCUGGGUGUGUUUCAGCUGCUGCAUUGGAGAGCAGCCUCAGCCUAAGAGGCGACGGAGGAUAGACCGUUCAAUGAUCGGAGAACCAACCAACUUUGUUCACACAACACACGUAGGCUCAGGAGACAUGGGCAUUGGGCUCUCAUCAGUGAACUCUGUUCAAGCCCAGAUGAAAUCUAAAGGAGGUUAUCAAGGAGGGUCUGAGAGCAAUCAGGAAUAAUGAGACAGAUAAGAAGCCUGUGCUAACUACUGCUGUAGAUCUGAAGAGGAGACAUUGUAAAGACACUUAUCUGAACCAGACAAAGGACCAAAUGAUGAAACCACCCAGGAACGUGUACAUAAUUCAUUUAUAUUAAAUCACUGCUAUCUGUCUGUCUGCCAUGCUGUUGCACUGUAAGAGUAGAAAACGGAUCACAAUUGUGUGUGUGUGCGCCUGUGUGAACAAAUGUUUUACUCAAAUGUUCAGGAGUGUGUGGUCGUGUUUUUAGGCCUUGCCUGUAUUUAUAGUCGGAUUUGUGGAAAAAUUACCUUUCAUGUGGUGGCUGGGCCACUGUGGAGAUAUGAGGCACAUGAUUAGUAGUAUCUGCUUCAUUAUCAAAUCAUAAACUACAAACUUUAAACUACAGACUUGAAAUGUCUAUCUGUUUGUGUCCCAAAUGGAACCCUAGUCCUCAUAUAGUGUGCUACUUUUGACCAGAGACACAUGGGCCCUGGUCAAAAUUAAUGCACUAUAUAGGGCAUAUGUUGAAAUUGGGAACAGAGACCAUUUUAACCGCUUUAUUCUGUUAAACAUCCCAUGUUCUUUGAGUUGCCUUCAGGAGUAAGUAAAGAAUGCUGUUUUCCAAUGAACUUGAAAUGUGUAGGUAGGGCACACUGGACCAUUUUGUUUCUUGUACACACUUGUUCAGAAGCUUUAAAGCUUUUGUAUUGAUUUCAGCCAAUGUGUUUUUAUACAUGUAGUAUUUUUCUCAUUCAUUAGCUAGAAUCUUAAUAAAAAAAAAUUCUAUGCCA
Molecule: long non-coding RNA, 1460 nt
Organism: Salvelinus namaycush (lake trout)
Lineage: Eukaryota; Metazoa; Chordata; Actinopteri; Salmoniformes; Salmonidae
Exons: 5
Source: RefSeq, a predicted model, not a curated record